Molecule: long non-coding RNA, 2523 nt
Organism: Populus nigra (black poplar)
Lineage: Eukaryota; Viridiplantae; Streptophyta; Magnoliopsida; Malpighiales; Salicaceae
Exons: 3
Source: RefSeq, a predicted model, not a curated record
AAACUUGGAGGCUUUAAUUUAACGACAAAUAAAAUAAUUAGACAGGCACCCAAAAAAAUUAAUUAGACGGUGUCGCUUUGGCACUGAAAGACCGAAAGGAACUGGUUAGAAAGAAGCUCCUCCGUCGACCAAGAAACAAACAUGCACCAAGAGAGCUCUCACCCGCAAUGAGAGCAUGAUGCGCACGUUAGCAGCAGCCCAGCUGAAGAAUGAAUGUAAUGCUGCCUUGAAAUGUUCAGUCAAAUCAAACAAUUCUAUUGGUUAAGUAUUGUUGCUCUUUCAUUUUUUUUUCCUUUCUUUGGAGCAGUAUUUGUGUCGUUUUAAUCCUCGAAAUGUUCGUUCUCGCAAUUUCUCAUCAUCUUCAUCACCAUCAUUCAGUAAAAGAGGUCUCCUCUCUCCCUCUCUUUCUCGGUUUUGUUAUUGUUAAUUACAAGUAUUAUGUUAAACCCAGCUCAUCAUCUCCAUCACCAUCAUUCUUUGGGUAUAAAUUACGAGCUGCUUGUAUUAUGUUGACGUGGGUUGCGAUCACGGAGCUUUGUUCUUCUCUGAUCAUAGCAUUUGAUGAUGGAUUCGUUUUUAUCUGUAAAUUUAUUGUUGACAGAUUGCACCUCUUCUGAAUCAUAUAUUCUUAGGCCCCUUUUCUCCUAGUUGUAAUUGUGUUUUUUUUGCUGUUUUUGUGAUUUUAGAACUGAUGACCCAUAGUUAAGUAAAUGAACUAUUGAAUAUCAGGUUUAGAUUGAAAUUAGCUUGGCGUAAGAGGUGUUGAAGAUUUUUUCUAUCUUUCUUUUUUUAUUCAUACGCAAAUCACAGUGUAAGGUCUGCUGCUGCUGCUUCUUCUUGAUUUCUAGUUGAAAGAAGGAUGAGAAUAGUGGAGAUGGGUGGGGCUCAACUGCUCAAGAGUUGUUCAACAUGUAAGGAGCUGCUAAAGAUGACCACACCAGGAAAGCGGAUUUGAAAGCUCUAGCUGCCCUCUCACAACCAGAUGAAGCUGUCAGGGCUUUACACCAUGCAGGGGAGAUCCCGGUGAUUAAUUCUAUCCCAGAUUCCUCUGAUAAAGCAGAAAUUGAGAGAUGCAAGGCUAGCUUGCUGAAGAGAUUCCAGGAUCUGAGAUAUGAUAAUUCGUCUUAAGUAAUCGGUUCAGGGCAUAACCCUUUCCAAUGCAGGCUUGAAGUACAGUCAGGUCAGAAAGUCAUCUGACAUCUUGGAGAGAUUAGGCCUCACAAGUAAUGAAAAUACAGUGCAUCUCUUUUGAAUGUAAUUUGAACCAAAAUUUCCCCAUUGAUACUCAUGUUUUUAAUGCUAUGAAUCGCAGGGGUUUGUAUACCAUGAGCUCUUGGAAUGGAUAUGUAAUAGUUGUCCUGCGCAGUUAUAACUGUGCUCGUAAGGCUGUGUUUACAUUGAGUAGCUUAGUUUGUGACCCUGAUGGUUUGCCAAGCAAUUUUUGUGUGUUGACUGUUCCAUCAUCAUCCAUGUGCUCGCCUGAAAUGGAUGUGUUUGUUGGUGCUGGAGUGGAUGGAUGGAUGUGGACUGCUGCUCAGUUGGACCUUGAUUCUAUGGAGAGUUUAUUGAAGAUGCUUAAAACAAUUUCGGCUAUUUGAAUGGUGAAUCACAAAUUCUCCAUGGAGAUGACUUCAGUGUGAAAGUUUAUCCAGGAGUGGACUAUGCCCUCAUUGUGGCAUUGAUUGUAGUCCUCAAUGAGGAAGACACGGUUUGAUUGUCUCUUGUGAAGUCAUUUCUUACCUGUACAUCAUCACAUACAUCUAUAGCAAGUGGCCAAGUGGUUUGUUUAGUUUUUAAUGCUUGUGAUUCAUGUUUGUUCGCUAUAUUCCUUGUUUAGACGCAACGCCACGGUGAUUUAAAUACGUUGUUAUGUGAUUCUAAUUUUUUUAUACUGCAUAUGUGAUUGUAUUUACUAAUGAUUUCUACUAGGACUCUUCGCAAGAGAGAAUCUGAUGCCAGUUCAAUAUACAAAAUUACAACCUGAACUUUCAGAGAAGCUGCUGUUGAAUUGUAAGGACACACUGCGAGUAUGAAGAAAACAUAUACAAUACAAGCACCUCGACUAGAAAAACACCGGAAAGGGGGGCGGCUAUUACUGUUACUUGUUUCUUACCAAACUAUAGAUGUUUGUUGACAAGGCAAUUGUGCUUGUUGCUACAGCUAGAAUUAUCAUCACUGCUGCCACGAUCUUAUCUCGUGUCGUUGAUAUACUGUGAACAUCCCUGUAAUUCAUGAGAAGACAAAAGGAAUUAUAUUGUGCAGGACUGUCAAAUUUAUACUGCAAAAUAUCAAUUCCGGAAGGACAGAGCAGUACCUUAACACAAUAGCACCUGGGAAGAUGAAGGCGAGACACACUGCUGAUGUUGAUCCCAUGAACUGAAAGAAGUACCAUAUAUUUGGGAUUGCAAUUGCUGCCAGGUAAGCGAAAACUAGUAAUGCAAGAGUGAGGGACACAAAUCGGAUGGAAUCUGUCGCUAAAAGAGGCUUCUUAGGGAAAAGAAGUUCAUCAAUGUUUGCCCUCAA